This 402-nucleotide non-coding RNA is filed under the name Rodentolepis nana. RNAcentral describes it as "Hymenolepis nana Eukaryotic small subunit ribosomal RNA". It matches the Rfam family "Eukaryotic small subunit ribosomal RNA", at positions 573 to 1831 of the family's 1831-position model. Lineage: Eukaryota; Metazoa; Platyhelminthes; Cestoda; Cyclophyllidea; Hymenolepididae. The record is from Rfam by way of RNAcentral.
AACGUGGUCCUUGCAGUAGCAGUUUGCACAAAGAUAGCAAUGGUGGCUGGCCCACUUGCCACAUAUUUAUGGUUGAAAAGCUGAAACUUAAAGCAAAUUUCUGGACCACCCCACCAGUUGCAGAGCCUAUGGCUCAAUUUAGCCUGACUCAUGAAAAUUCAAUCAAUGACAUGACCAAUAUCAGGGCUUGGAUAAGUUCCCUGUGAACGAGGAAAUCCUGAUGAGCGCAAGUCAUAAGCCUGCGCUGAUUACGUUUCUGCAAUUUGUACACACUGACUGUCGCUACUACCGAUUGAAUGGUUUAGAAAUUUCUUUGGAUUGGUGACACUUAUGCGUCGCCAUUAAGAGGAAAUGAAAGUUGUAACAAGGUUUUUCUUAGCUGAAUCUGCGGAAAAAUUAAUA